CAGUAGCCACGGGAAUACGUAGGUGGCAAGCGUUGUCCGGAAUUAUUGGGCGUAAGGGGCUCGCAGGCGGUUUCUUAAGUCUGAUGUGAAGGCCCCCGGCUCAACCGGGGAGGGUCAUUGGAAACUGGAAAACUUGAGUGCAGAAGAGGAGAGUGGAAUUCCACGUGUAGCGGUGAAAUGCGUAGAGAUGUGGAGGAACACCAGUGGCGAAGGCGACUCUCUGGUCUGUAACUGACGCUAAGGAGCGAAAGCGUGGGGAGCGAACAGGAUUAGAUACCCGCGUAGUCCCUGUCUCUUAUAC
RNAcentral lists this ribosomal RNA (301 nucleotides) under uncultured bacterium. RNAcentral's name for it is "partial 16S ribosomal RNA". It matches the Rfam family "Bacterial small subunit ribosomal RNA", at positions 509 to 807 of the family's 1533-position model. The record is from RNAcentral.